CCUACGGGAGGCAGCAGUGAGGAAUAUUGCGCAAUGGGGGAAACCCUGACGCAGCGACGCCGCGUGAGUGAGGAAGGUUUUCGGAUCGUAAAGCUCUGUCAGAAGGGAAGAAGUGUUAUGUAGUUAAUACCUGCAUAAUUUGACGGUACCUUCAGAGGAAGCACCGGCUAACUCCGUGCCAGCAGCCGCGGUAAUACGGAGGGUGCAAGCGUUGUUCGGAAUUACUGGGCGUAAAGGGCGCGUAGGCGGCCGGAUAUGUCAGGUGUGAAAGUCCACGGCUCAACCGUGGAAGUGCAUUUGAAACUGUCCGGCUUGAGUAUCGGAGGGGAGUGUGGAAUUCCCGGUGUAGAGGUGAAAUUCGUAGAGAUCGGGAGGAACACCGGUGGCGAAGGCGACACUCUGGACGAAUACUGACGCUGAGGCGCGAAAGCGUGGGGAGCAAACAGGAUUAGAUACCCUGGUAGUCCACGCCGUAAACGAUGUGAACUAGGGAUAGGGGGUGUUGAUCCCUCCUGUCCCGCAGCUAACGCAUUAAGUUCACCGCCUGGGGAGUACGGUCGCAAGAUUAAAACUCAAAGGAAUUGACGGGGGCCCGCGCAAGCGGUGGAGUAUGUGGUUUAAUUCGACGCAACGCGAAGAACCUUACCUGGGCUUGACAUCCCAAGAAUUUCCUGGAAACAGGAAAGUGCGUCAUUAGAUGAACUUGGUGACAGGUGCUGCAUGGCUGUCGUCAGCUCGUGUCGUGAGAUGUUGGGUUAAGUCCCGCAACGAGCGCAACCCCUGCCUUUAGUUGCCAGCAGUUCGGCUGGGCACUCUAGAGGGACUGCCGGUGUCAAACCGGAGGAAGGUGGGGAUGACGUCAAGUCCUCAUGGCCUUUAUGCUCAGGGCUACACACGUACUACAAUGGUCGGUACAAAGGGCAGCGACUUAGCGAUAAGAAGCUAAUCCCAGAAAACCGGUCUCAGUCCGGAUUGGAGUCUGCAACUCGACUCCAUGAAGUUGGAAUCGCUAGUAAUCGUGGAUCAGCAUGCCACGGUGAAUACGUUCCCGGGCCUUGUACACACCGCCCGUCACACCACGAAAGUCGGUUGUUCCAGAAGUAGUUGAGCUAACCUUAGGGAGGCAGGCUACCAAGGAAUGGUCGGUAAUUGGGGUGAAGUCGUAACAAGGUAACC
RNAcentral lists this ribosomal RNA (1176 nucleotides) under uncultured delta proteobacterium. Its description in RNAcentral is "bacterial SSU rRNA". It matches the Rfam family "Bacterial small subunit ribosomal RNA", at positions 338 to 1501 of the family's 1533-position model. Lineage: Bacteria; Deltaproteobacteria. The record is from RNAcentral.